Molecule: ribosomal RNA, 497 nt
Filed under: uncultured bacterium
Lineage: Bacteria
Description: partial 16S ribosomal RNA
Rfam family: Bacterial small subunit ribosomal RNA
Source: RNAcentral
GAUGAACGCUGGCGGCGUGCCUAAUACAUGCAAGUCGAGCGAACAGACGAGGAGCUUGCUCCUCUGACGUUAGCGGCGGACGGGUGAGUAACACGUGGAUAACCUACCUAUAAGACUGGGAUAAAUUCGGGAAACCGGAGCUAAUACCGGAUAAUAUAUUGAACCGCAUGGUUCAAUAGUGAAAGACGGUUUUGCUGUCACUUAUAGAUGGAUCCGCGCCGCAUUAGCUAGUUGGUAAGGUAACGGCCUACCAAGGCAACGAUGCGUAGCCGACCUGAGAGGGUGAUCGGCCACACUGGAACUUAGACACGGUCCAGACUCCUACGGGAGGCAGCAGUAGGGAAUCUUCCGCAAUGGGCGAAAGCCUGACGGAGCAACGCCGCGUGAGUGAUGAAGGUCUUCGGAUCGUAAAACUCUGUUAUUAGGGAAGAACAAAUGUGUAAGUAACUAUGCACGUCUUGACGGUACCUAAUCAGAAAGCCACGGCUAACUACGUG